AUGCAGUCGAGCGGAUGACGGGAGCUUGCUCCUUGAUUCAGCGGCGGACGGGUGAGUAAUGCCUAGGAAUCUGCCUGGUAGUGGGGGACAACGUUUCGAAAGGAACGCUAAUACCGCAUACGUCCUACGGGAGAAAGCAGGGGACCUUCGGGCCUUGCGCUAUCAGAUGAGCCUAGGUCGGAUUAGCUAGUUGGUGAGGUAAUGGCUCACCAAGGCGACGAUCCGUAACUGGUCUGAGAGGAUGAUCAGUCACACUGGAACUGAGACACGGUCCAGACUCCUACGGGAGGCAGCAGUGGGGAAUAUUGGACAAUGGGCGAAAGCCUGAUCCAGCCAUGCCGCGUGUGUGAAGAAGGUCUUCGGAUUGUAAAGCACUUUAAGUUGGGAGGAAGGGCAGUAAGUUAAUACCUUGCUGUUUUGACGUUACCGACAGAAUAAGCACCGGCUAACUCUGUGCCAGCAGCCGCGGUAAUACAGAGGGUGCAAGCGUUAAUCGGAAUUACUGGGCGUAAAGCGCGCGUAGGUGGUUCGUUAAGUUGGAUGUGAAAGCCCCGGGCUCAACCUGGGAACUGCAUCCAAAACUGGCGAGCUAGAGUACGGUAGA
This 604-nucleotide ribosomal RNA is filed under the name Pseudomonas sp. PJ 02. RNAcentral describes it as "bacterial SSU rRNA". It matches the Rfam family "Bacterial small subunit ribosomal RNA", at positions 55 to 655 of the family's 1533-position model. Lineage: Bacteria; Pseudomonadati; Pseudomonadota; Gammaproteobacteria; Pseudomonadales; Pseudomonadaceae. The record is from RNAcentral.